Molecule: non-coding RNA, 55 nt
Submitted as: unclassified sequences
Source: Rfam
GAACGUUCACCGGUUCACACCGGCGCACUUCUUCAGGCAGGGAACGGGGCCUGAG